This 392-nucleotide ribosomal RNA is filed under the name uncultured bacterium. RNAcentral's name for it is "partial 16S ribosomal RNA". It matches the Rfam family "Bacterial small subunit ribosomal RNA", at positions 523 to 918 of the family's 1533-position model. The record is from RNAcentral.
AUACGGAGGAUCCGAGCGCUAUCCGGAUUUAUUGGGUUUAAAGGGUGCGCAGGCGGCCAUUUAAGUCAGCGGUUAAAUCGUGGGGCUCAACCCCAUUCUGCCGUUGAUACUGGGUGGCUUGAUUGCGGUCGAGGUUGGCGGAAUUCGUUGUGUAGCGGUGAAAUGCAUAGAUAUGACGAAGAACACCGAUUGCGUAGGCAGCUGACCAGACCGCAAAUGACGCUCAUGCACGAAAGUGCGGGGAUCGAACAGGAUUAGAUACCCUGGUAGUCCGCACAGUAAACGAUGAAUACUUGUUUUCGGCGAUAUAAUGUCGGAGGCAAAGCGAAAGCGAUAAGUAUUCCACCUGGGGAGUACGCCGGCAACGGUGAAACUCAAAUGAAUUGGCGGGG